UACGUAGGGUGCGAGCGUUGUCCGGAAUUAUUGGGCGUAAAGGGCUCGUAGGCGGUUUGUCGCGUCGGGAGUGAAAUCCACUGGCUUAACUGGUGGCUUGCUUUCGAUACGGGCAGACUGGAGGCAUGCAGGGGAGAACGGAAUUCCUGGUGUAGCGGUGAAAUGCGUAGAUACCCGGAGGAACACCGGUGGCGAAGGCGGCUUCCUGGACCGACACUGACGCUGAGGCGCGAAAGCUAGGGGAGCAAACGGG
This 253-nucleotide ribosomal RNA is filed under the name uncultured bacterium. Its description in RNAcentral is "partial 16S ribosomal RNA". It matches the Rfam family "Bacterial small subunit ribosomal RNA", at positions 524 to 776 of the family's 1533-position model. The record is from RNAcentral.